GACAGAGGUGCCAAGCGUUAGGCGGAAUCACUGGGCUUAAAGCGUGUGUAGGCGGGUCGUUAAGUACCUUGUGAAAUCCCACGGCUCAACCGUGGAACUGCUCGGUAUACUGGCGAUCUUGGGCCACUUAGGGGCUAGCGGAACAAACGGUGGAGCGGUGAAAUGCGUAGAUAUUGUUUGGAACGCCAAUGGUGAAAACAGCUAGCUGGGAGUGUGCCGACGCUGAGACACGAAAGCCAGGGGAGCGAACGGG
This 253-nucleotide ribosomal RNA is filed under the name uncultured bacterium. RNAcentral describes it as "partial 16S ribosomal RNA". It matches the Rfam family "Bacterial small subunit ribosomal RNA", at positions 524 to 776 of the family's 1533-position model. The record is from RNAcentral.